This 3453-nucleotide long non-coding RNA is filed under the name Homo sapiens (human). RNAcentral describes it as "non-protein coding lnc-OSGEP-1:1". Lineage: Eukaryota; Metazoa; Chordata; Mammalia; Primates; Hominidae. The record is from RNAcentral.
GUGGCGGUGGCUGCGGCGACGGCAGAGGCGAAGGGAGCCGGAUCGCCGACCUGAGCGGGAGGCGGCGGUGGCGGCCAUGGCGGCAGAUGGAGAGCGUUCCCCGCUGCUGUCUGAGCCCAUCGACGGUGGCGCGGGCGGCAACGGUUUAGUGGGGCCCGGCGGGAGUGGGGCUGGGCCCGGGGGAGGCCUGACCCCCUCCGCACCACCGUACGGAGCCGGUAAACAUGCCCCGCCCCAGGGUAAGCCGGGGCGGGUCCGAGGUGCUCCCCGGGGUACUCUGAAAGCCGGGGAGGGGGCGGGACCGAGGGCGGAGGCGGGUCCCAGUCGCCAGGUGCGGGACUGCUGCACCUGUGACUGGGCGAGGCUUCCUUCCCUCCGUAAUCGCGACCACAGCCUAGGGACGGAAGGGGGUUCUGAGCAACCUGAUAGAAGUGCCAAUUAUGAGAAGCCCUCCGAGCUUGGUCAGAGGGUUGAAGAUCAGAAGGACUUCCCUACCACCGUGGAGCAUCAGUGGGGGUGUAAGUGAUCCCAGCCCUUCUAUUUGCUUCCUCUCCAGCAUUUCCCCCGUUUCCCGAGGGGCAUCCAGCCGUGUUGCCUGGGGAGGACCCACCCCCCUAUUCACCCUUAACUAGCCCGGACAGUGGGAGUGCCCCUAUGAUCACCUGCCGAGUCUGCCAAUCUCUCAUCAACGUGGAAGGCAAGAUGCAUCAGCAUGUAGUCAAAUGUGGUGUCUGCAAUGAAGCCACCGUGAGUUACACAUAUCUAUGAAAUGGGCCCUGUUUCCUGGAUCCUCUUUCUGAUGUCUUGGUUCUAGACCCUGACCUUCCGGCUAUUAGCCAAGUGCUUUUGAUGAUACCCAGGUUUCAGUUCCAGGUGUCUCACACAGCCAUUUCCCCAGAAGCCACUCACCAAAGCUAAUGUUCACUUUCUCUCACUUUUACACCUAGCCUAGUUCCUAUUUGCAAAUCUCAUGAUAUAGUCUUUCUUUUAUUUCUCCUUCCUGGUUAGCACCUUAUUUUUCUGAUCUCAUAAAGUGUUUUUGGAGGGAAGUGGAGGGGAUUGGGAUUAGAGGUUUGCUUGCUGAUGACCCUAUUAUUCUCUAGCCAAUCAAGAAUGCACCCCCAGGGAAAAAAUAUGUUCGAUGCCCCUGUAACUGUCUCCUUAUCUGCAAAGUGACAUCCCAACGGAUUGCAUGCCCUCGGCCCUACUGGUAAGAGGCAUAAGGUGGGGAAGGGCCUAAGUGGGGAACUGGAAAGUCAAAAAAGGAUGAGCGUAUACAGAGAAUGUAAAGGUGAGAGAGCCUAGUGUUUAUUUAGGAGAAAAGGCUUUGAAGCAUGUGCCUCAGGAAUGUUAUAGCUGUCUUUCUCGUUUCUCAAUAAAAAUAUUGAGAUGAAAUGAUGUCGUUUCGGAGAAUAGAGAGCCUUGGGGACUGGGUGUGUUAUCCUGAGGUCGGAGGGGAAUUGGGGACCUGAAGUUUAAACAGUGCUCUUUCUUUCUCAAGGAUUCUUGAGGGUAUACAGUUGGGGGACAGAGUAUCUUAAGUACAGAGAAGUCGAGUGACUUAAUAGACAGGGAGUGGGGGAUGUGGAACAGGGACUGUGAAGAUUUUUAGGAUUAAAAAUUUUUCAAACACAAGUUUGAAAAUACAAGUCUUUUUCUUUUGUAUAGCAAAAGAAUCAUCAACCUGGGGCCUGUGCAUCCCGGACCUCUGAGUCCAGAACCCCAACCCAUGGGUGUCAGGGUUAUCUGUGGACAUUGCAAGAAUACUUUUCUGGUGAGGAAGGGGUAUUGGGAAGGGGAGGGGAAAGGAGACUAAGAGUCAUUUCGAGUAUAUUUCUUAGAGUAAUGGUAAUGACCCCUGAAAGGUCUGUCCUAUGGGAACAUGUUCUGCAUCCCCACCCCAAGGUUCUCAUUGAGGGAGACCCUGCUUGUGCUAUUAUUUUUGUUUUCUUUCUCCAUAGUGGACAGAGUUCACAGACCGCACUUUGGCACGUUGUCCUCACUGCAGGAAAGUGUCAUCUAUUGGGCGCAGAUACCCACGUAAGAGAUGUAUCUGCUGCUUCUUGCUUGGCUUGCUUUUGGCAGUCACUGCCACUGGCCUUGCCGUGAGUACCCUUGCCCCAACCUCUUUCAUUCUGCAGCCUCAUCUCCAUAGGCUAAGAUUUGGGAAACUGCUACCCUAAAAAAAAGUGGAAGAAACUUGGGGGACUAGUUUGUUUUGUUUUAAGAUAUGGAUGAGCUAAAGUGCAAAGUGGCUGAUCAAACAGACUUUAUUACUACUACAAGAGUGAAAAACAGCCUUCCUUUCUCUGUAGGAUGAGGAUAGGACAGUGAAAUUCUUAAUUUAAGAGUUGCUAUUUUUCAAACCUGGCUCAGUUGUCAGAUAUUAAGAAAAACUGAGAUACAGUGUGGGAUGGGAUGAGUAUGUUACGCCUAAGGGAAGGAAGCUGAUCAGCUCUGCCUUUAAGAAGGUCCCUGAGGGUGGCUACAUGUGGAUAAGGAACAAGGACUGAAGCGUGAGUUAUUACUGUUCUUAGAACUAAUAGGAGGUAGUGGAGACCAACAUUAACCCCAUCUUUCUUUUCUUCUCCCUCCUUAUCUUCAUCAGUUUGGCACAUGGAAGCAUGCACGGCGAUAUGGAGGCAUCUAUGCAGCCUGGGCAUUUGUCAUCCUGUUGGCUGUGCUGUGUUUGGGCCGGGCUCUUUAUUGGGCCUGUAUGAAGGUCAGCCACCCUGUCCAGAACUUCUCCUGAGCCUGAUGACCCACAGACUGUGCCUGGCCCCUCCCUGGUGGGGACAGUGACACUACGAAGGGAGCUGGGGUAGUUAAAGGCUCCCGGGGCUUCUAGAAGGAAGCCAAGCAGCUGCCUUCCUUUUCCCUGGGGAGAGGUAGGAAGGAACCAGGCCCUCACUUAGGUUUGGAGGGGCAGAUAAGAGCACUGCUGACCAUCUGCUUUCCUCCAAGGGUUGCUGUGUCUAGGGUGAAGUAGGCAAAACGUUGCCCUUAAAACUGGGCCCUGAAGACGGUUCCAGCCUUGUCCUUCCUGUGUGCUCCCUGAGAGCCAUUCCUGUCCCUUACACAUUCCAGGGCAGGGUGGGGGUGGGUAGCCCUGGGGGUUCCCCUCCCUCUUGUGCACCAUUAGGACUUUGCUGCUGCUAUUGCACUUCACCAGAGGUUGGCUCUGGCCUCAGUACCCUCAGUCUCCUCUCCCCACAUUGUGUCCUGUGGGGGUGGGGUCAGCCGCUGCUCUGUACAGAACCACAGGAACUGAUGUGUAUAUAACUAUUUAAUGUGGGAUAUGUUCCCCUAUUCCUGUAUUUCCCUUAAUUCCUCCUCCCGACCUUUUUUACCCCCCCAGUUGCAGUAUUUAACUGGGCUGGGUAGGGUUGCUCAGUCUUUGGGGGAGGUUAGGGACUUAUCCUGUGCUUGUAAAUAAAUAAGGUCAUGACUCUA